GGUACCGUCAUUAUCUUCCCUAGCGAAAGAGUUUUACAACCCUAAGGCCUUCUUCACUCACGCGGCAUGGCUGGAUCAGGCUUGCGCCCAUUGUCCAAUAUUCCCC
Molecule: ribosomal RNA, 106 nt
Filed under: uncultured bacterium
Lineage: Bacteria
Description: partial 16S ribosomal RNA
Source: RNAcentral